AACAAACGCUGGCGGCGUGCCUAACACAUGCAAGUCGUACGAGAAAGUCGGCUUCGGCCGAUGAGUACAGUGGCGCACGGGUGAGUAGCGCGUGGGUAAUCUGCCCCCCGGUCAGGAAUAACCCGCCGAAAGGCGGGCUAAUACCCGAUAACACUGACGCUCCGCGGAGCGUCUUUCAAAGAAGGCCUCUGUUUACAAGCUUUCGCCGGAGGAUGAGCCCGCGUACCAUUAGCUAGUUGGCGGGGUAAUGGCCUACCAAGGCUACGAUGGUUAGCUGGUCUGAGAGGAUGGCCAGCCACACUGGAACUGAGACACGGUCCAGACUCCUACGGGAGGCAGCAGUGAGGAAUCUUGCGCAAUGGGGGAAACCCUGACGCAGCAACGCCGCGUGAGUGAGGAAGGCCUGGUCGUAAGAUCUGUCAGAUGGGAAGAAAAGUAGGAAGUGGGGGCGUAAGUAAUACGCCCACUCCUUGUACGGUACCACUCAGAGGAAGACACCGGCUAACUCCGUACCG
This 515-nucleotide ribosomal RNA is filed under the name uncultured bacterium. Its description in RNAcentral is "bacterial SSU rRNA". It matches the Rfam family "Bacterial small subunit ribosomal RNA", at positions 29 to 510 of the family's 1533-position model. The record is from RNAcentral.